This 1688-nucleotide ribosomal RNA is filed under the name Escherichia coli. RNAcentral's name for it is "partial 23S ribosomal RNA". It matches the Rfam family "Bacterial large subunit ribosomal RNA", at positions 1275 to 2925 of the family's 2925-position model. Lineage: Bacteria; Pseudomonadati; Pseudomonadota; Gammaproteobacteria; Enterobacterales; Enterobacteriaceae. The record is from RNAcentral.
GGAGGUAUCAGAAGUGCGAAUGCUGACAUAAGUAACGAUAAAGCGGGUGAAAAGCCCGCUCGCCGGAAGACCAAGGGUUCCUGUCCAACGUUAAUCGGGGCAGGGUGAGUCGACCCCUAAGGCGAGGCCGAAAGGCGUAGUCGAUGGGAAACAGGUUAAUAUUCCUGUACUUGGUGUUACUGCGAAGGGGGGACGGAGAAGGCUAUGUUGGCCGGGCGACGGUUGUCCCGGUUUAAGCGUGUAGGCUGGUUUUCCAGGCAAAUCCGGAAAAUCAAGGCUGAGGCGUGAUGACGAGGCACUACGGUGCUGAAGCAACAAAUGCCCUGCUUCCAGGAAAAGCCUCUAAGCAUCAGGUAACAUCAAAUCGUACCCCAAACCGACACAGGUGGUCAGGUAGAGAAUACCAAGGCGCUUGAGAGAACUCGGGUGAAGGAACUAGGCAAAAUGGUGCCGUAACUUCGGGAGAAGGCACGCUGAUAUGUAGGUGAAGUCCCUCGCGGAUGGAGCUGAAAUCAGUCGAAGAUACCAGCUGGCUGCAACUGUUUAUUAAAAACACAGCACUGUGCAAACACGAAAGUGGACGUAUACGGUGUGACGCCUGCCCGGUGCCGGAAGGUUAAUUGAUGGGGUCAGCGCAAGCGAAGCUCUUGAUCGAAGCCCCGGUAAACGGCGGCCGUAACUAUAACGGUCCUAAGGUAGCGAAAUUCCUUGUCGGGUAAGUUCCGACCUGCACGAAUGGCGUAAUGAUGGCCAGGCUGUCUCCACCCGAGACUCAGUGAAAUUGAACUCGCUGUGAAGAUGCAGUGUACCCGCGGCAAGACGGAAAGACCCCGUGAACCUUUACUAUAGCUUGACACUGAACAUUGAGCCUUGAUGUGUAGGAUAGGUGGGAGGCUUUGAAGUGUGGACGCCAGUCUGCAUGGAGCCGACCUUGAAAUACCACCCUUUAAUGUUUGAUGUUCUAACGUGGACCCGUGAUCCGGGUUGCGGACAGUGUCUGGUGGGUAGUUUGACUGGGGCGGUCUCCUCCUAAAGAGUAACGGAGGAGCACGAAGGUUGGCUAAUCCUGGUCGGACAUCAGGAGGUUAGUGCAAUGGCAUAAGCCAGCUUGACUGCGAGCGUGACGGCGCGAGCAGGUGCGAAAGCAGGUCAUAGUGAUCCGGUGGUUCUGAAUGGAAGGGCCAUCGCUCAACGGAUAAAAGGUACUCCGGGGAUAACAGGCUGAUACCGCCCAAGAGUUCAUAUCGACGGCGGUGUUUGGCACCUCGAUGUCGGCUCAUCACAUCCUGGGGCUGAAGUAGGUCCCAAGGGUAUGGCUGUUCGCCAUUUAAAGUGGUACGCGAGCUGGGUUUAGAACGUCGUGAGACAGUUCGGUCCCUAUCUGCCGUGGGCGCUGGAGAACUGAGGGGGGCUGCUCCUAGUACGAGAGGACCGGAGUGGACGCAUCACUGGUGUUCGGGUUGUCAUGCCAAUGGCACUGCCCGGUAGCUAAAUGCGGAAGAGAUAAGUGCUGAAAGCAUCUAAGCACGAAACUUGCCCCGAGAUGAGUUCUCCCUGACCCUUUAAGGGUCCUGAAGGAACGUUGAAGACGACGACGUUGAUAGGCCGGGUGUGUAAGCGCAGCGAUGCGUUGAGCUAACCGGUACUAAUGAACCGUGAGGCUUAACCUUACAACGCCGAAGGUGUUU